UUGUGCCUUUAGAUAAAUUAACCACUAAAGAAUAAUUUUUCGCUUCUCUCAUUCAAUUCUCAAACCCCCAAACCCGGUUUUAUAUGCUGGGUCUGUUUUGCAAGCGUUCCCAGAAGUCUGGCGAUGUUGCGCCUCUGGGUUUAGAAACUCUUUGCUUGUACUAACCACGUCCCACGGAAGCAUUACUAUGGCGACGAGAGUGUUUGGUGGAUGUUUUGUAGGUGAAACAACAGCACUGUUUUAAAUGGAGAAGUGAUGGAAGUGAUGGAAGUGGCACACACUGCAUCAGAGACAUUCACAGACAGUCAAAGGAAGAAGACACCCUCGGCCCCUGUGCCAAUUGGUGGAGGACAGAAAAAGAAGUCCCUCUGAUGUCCCUCAUCACCUACUAGAGACCCAAACCUAUACCAAACUCAAGAGCAACAGUGCAAUCCAAGCAGAACCCUCAGCACUUCACUUCAGUGGGUUUAAACUGGGGAAGGAUUAUCAGAGGAGCUUGAAGCUUAUCAACAUAUCAUCUGAAGUGAUCAACAUUCACAUUAUCCCAACCCAAACAAAGCAUUUCAAAACAAAAUAUUUAAAACAGCAUCCCCGGACUGUCCUACACAGUGAAAGUACACUUCUGUCCUGAUGAAUGGCGCUACUUCUAUGACUGUAUUCGGGUUCAUUGCAAGUGUCAACCAUGUGAUCCCUCUGAGCUGCAGCUGUCCCAUUGACUUUGAGUUCCAGGUGUACAUCAUCCAGCCACACAAGGCCUUCUCUGUCCAGCCCCUGUCAGGAGUGAUUCCAGCCAAUGGGAAGGUGGAGGUGACCGUCACAUUCAGACCGUUCCAGUAUGACACGUCCCAGGUCACUCUACAGGUGGUCAUCUCCCAGUUCAACCCCAAACCCUAUGUCUGCACCCUCAGCGGGUCCUCCUCGCCCCACCUGACACUUAGGUAUGCCAGAACCAUUUUGAAAUGUUAAAGGUUAGUUCAUCAAACACUAUAUUGAAUUAUGCCAUUUUUACCAGGUCAUAGUUACAAUUAUGUACAUAUUUGAUAUAUGGUCAGCAAAGUUCCUGUUUUCUUGCUUUGUGUCACGUUAUUGCUUGUUAUUUUGUGUCAUUGUGAGUUCCGUCAAUUGAUGCACUGAGCCAAAUAUAUUUCUUUACUGAUAAGAAUGGAAAAUAUGUGAUUGUUAAGUGGUUACAAUAUCCUUGUGUAAACAAUGCUUACGCACAUUUCCUAGAACGAGUGCUAUGCACAUAAGUGCAGCACAUGUACUGUUCUGACACUCUCUGUCUGCAAACUUUGAAAAUAGAAAUUGUACAAACAUUUAGAGAGAUAAAAAAUGAACUCUUGCAGAGAAGAACCAUACAAGUGCAUACUGUUCCAUUUUCAUAUAAUCAAAUGUUUCUCUGUUUCUAAGUGUGCAUAUAACACAUUAGGGAUUUUAUAGUUGAUAGAUACUUGAAUAAACCCCCCCCCCCCAAAUUUUUUACAAUUUUUUUAUAAUGAUGUAUCAUGUUUAUCUACAUUUCUUGAAAAUGCACAUAUAUGGUUCUUCUGCACGAUUCUAGUUAUGAUGAUAUCCUUUUGUUUAAUUGAUUUCUGUUCAUGGCUAACUUCUUUGUUUAAGUCCUGGGCUACAGACUCAAAACCACGCACGGUCACUUAUAAAGAUAAACAGGUUAUUCUUGUUUCUAGUCUGUAUAUAAAAUAUUAUUUUUGAUUCAGUUCCCAUGAGAAAAUGGGUGCACUCCAUCACUGACAGUGGACGAGUUUUACUCCCCUGUGUUAUGACUAAGAGGAGUUAAUGAUUUAUCAAGCAAGGGAACUGCAGUCAUAUCAAAAUGCAUCGGUAUCCAAUCCAUUCAAUGUGUGUGCUUCGGAUCAAAUAUUCCCAUGUUUACUUCUCCCUGGACUCGCAAUAAAAGAUACGAAGAUAAGAUAUGAAUGAGUUAAUUGAAGAAUUGGCGGGUUGAGUUGCACCCUCUUUUGCCCUCAGAACAGCCUCAAUUCAUCUGGACAUGGACUAC
This is a non-coding RNA of Oncorhynchus mykiss (rainbow trout), 2020 nucleotides long. The record is from RefSeq and is a predicted model, not a curated record. Lineage: Eukaryota; Metazoa; Chordata; Actinopteri; Salmoniformes; Salmonidae.